CCUACGGGGGGCUGCAGUGAGGAAUAUUGGUCAAUGGACGAGAGUCUGAACCAGCCAAGUAGCGUGAAGGAUGACUGCCCUAUGGGUUGUAAACUUCUUUUAUAUGGGAAUAAAAUGUUCCACGUGUGGGAUUUUGUAUGUACCAUAUGAAUAAGGAUCGCCUAACUCCGUGCCAGCAGCCGCGGUAAUACGGAGGAUCCGAGCGUUAUCCGGAUUUAUUGGGUUUAAAGGGAGCGUAGGUGGAUUGUUAAGUCAGUUGUGAAAGUUUGCGGCUCAACCGUAAAAUUGCAGUUGAAACUGGCAGUCUUGAGUACAGUAGAGGUGGGCGGAAUUCGUGGUGUAGCGGUGAAAUGCUUAGAUAUCACGAAGAACUCCGAUUGCGAAGGCAGUUCACUGGACUGCAACUGACACUGAGGCUCGAAAGUGUGGGUAUCAAACAGGAUUAGAUACCCUUGUAGUC
This 460-nucleotide ribosomal RNA is filed under the name uncultured bacterium. RNAcentral describes it as "partial 16S ribosomal RNA". It matches the Rfam family "Bacterial small subunit ribosomal RNA", at positions 338 to 795 of the family's 1533-position model. The record is from RNAcentral.